This is a long non-coding RNA of Mauremys mutica (yellowpond turtle), 689 nucleotides long. RefSeq lists it as uncharacterized. The transcript has 3 exons. The record is from RefSeq and is a predicted model, not a curated record. Lineage: Eukaryota; Metazoa; Chordata; Testudines; Geoemydidae.
UCAGAACUAGUCUCUGCCCCUCAGUGUCAGAGUGAGGCAGUGACAGGUGCAGCCAACAACCAAAGGCAGUUCAGUCUUUUUAACACAGUAAAGAAAUUGCUUCUCCAGUUCUGCCAGGGCAUUCCCAGCCAGGCUGUUUUGCUGUUAGAGAUGGGCCCAAGUCAAAUGGAUCUGGAUUUUGAUCCCCUCCUUCAAAAACUUGAGAGGAGAGUGGGGGGUGCUGGGAUCUAGGGUUUUGGUUCAGCCGCAUCUCUAUUUGAUACAGUGAUAACAACAGAGCAGGGCAGUGGGAACCAUCAGCAAAGCAUCUCAUCUUCCAAUAGAAAGCCAGCAGGGGUCUCUUCAGCAGGAGUAGAGUCAGCAGCAGCACCUCCAACAUUCUCUUCUUGGUCACUUUCUAGCUCCAGUCUCAGUUUGGAAUUCAUCCAAUCAUUGAGCAGCUCCUGGGCUACGGUGUUGAAAAAAGAUUGGUGAUACACAAAUCUACCUACUGGCCCAGUUGGAUUUCAUAGGGUCCCUUUAAGCAGCUCUGGGCCGGUGCUAUUCAAACUCACCUUCUGCAUAAGCCUCAUCAUGAUCCUGCAGCUGCUCUACUGUUUCCAGAUCCAUCACAGGACCACGUGGCCUUUGAGGAUAAGCUGACUUUUUAAGGGAAAAAGCUUCAGAAACAGCAAACCUGGAGGCUUGUU